CAGCCACACUGGAACUGAGACACGGUCCAGACUCCUACGGGAGGCAGCAGUGGGGAAUAUUGCACAAUGGGCGCAAGCCUGAUGCAGCCAUGCCGCGUGUAUGAAGAAGGCCUUCGGGUUGUAAAGUACUUUCAGCGGGGAGGAAGGUGCUGAGGUUAAUAACCUCGGCAAUUGACGUUACCCGCAGAAGAAGCACCGGCUAACUCCGUGCCAGCAGCCGCGGUAAUACGGAGGGUGCAAGCGUUAAUCGGAAUUACUGGGCGUAAAGCGCACGCAGGCGGUCUGUCAAGUCGGAUGUGAAAUCCCCGGGCUCAACCUGGGAACUGCAUUCGAAACUGGCAGGCUGGAGUCUUGUAGAGGGGGGUAGAAUUCCAGGUGUAGCGGUGAAAUGCGUAGAGAUCUGGAGGAAUACCGGUGGCGAAGGCGGCCCCCUGGACAAAGACUGACGCUCAGGUGCGAAAGCGUGGGGAGCAAA
RNAcentral lists this ribosomal RNA (475 nucleotides) under Trabulsiella sp. Its description in RNAcentral is "bacterial SSU rRNA". It matches the Rfam family "Bacterial small subunit ribosomal RNA", at positions 305 to 772 of the family's 1533-position model. The record is from RNAcentral. Lineage: Bacteria; Pseudomonadati; Pseudomonadota; Gammaproteobacteria; Enterobacterales; Enterobacteriaceae.